ACGGAGAACAAAUGUUGAGUGUGUGAGACACCCUUCUCACGCAAUCCACACUCUAACAGGACAGAAAUGGAUCUGAAACCCAAGGCGAGGACGACUAGAGAGAGAGAGGACGAUGGUGGUGGUGGUGGUGUGGUGGUGGUUGGUUGGAGGUGAGGGUGCAUCCGACACUGAUGUUUAAAUUCCUUGGAUCGAAUUACAGUUGGACAAUGAAAUUAAGAAAGUCAAAAUAUUAUCAAUAUAACAUUAUAACCUUGGCUUGGUGUGGUUGGCAAUAAAAAUGAAAUUUCUGAACUAACCUAGAAAGUAGCAUAGAGUAUGUGAAGGACGCAUGGUUAAUGCGUUGCAGAAUAGGACACGACAAGUAGUUCAAUUGGACAAAGAAACGAAUUCUUCUGAAUAAGCAGACAAUUUUUCCAUGAAGAAUGAUGACUAAUGAUAUGCAUGCGUGUUCGAUAUGCCACGAUUCGGAUGAAUAAGUCUACACCUCAUGAGAGUCAUUUAUAUAUUGCUCAUAAAUGGUUCAUAUGUUAGCAUCAUCCGCAUCAUCUUAAAUAUUUAUACGUUUAUUAUUGUAGAAUAUUUAUAGUAAUAUGAAAACAAAUUAUGGAUGCAUAAUAUUAUUAAUGAACAUAUUUAAGUAAAAUGAAUUAUAAUUGAUAUAAGUAAUUACGGUACAGGAAACAGGAACAUUUUCAUUUCUAUUUCGACUACAAAACUGAAUUCAUAGAAAACGCUAUCAUCUGGUCGCCAAAUUAACACAAGCUACAAUGUGAUACAAUGUUAAUACGAUUUUAAAUAAUCUGUAAUAAACUAAAUUCUACAAAACAAAUUAAAU
Long non-coding RNA from Folsomia candida, 835 nucleotides. RefSeq lists it as uncharacterized. The transcript has 2 exons. Lineage: Eukaryota; Metazoa; Arthropoda; Collembola; Entomobryomorpha; Isotomidae. The record is from RefSeq and is a predicted model, not a curated record.